This 509-nucleotide long non-coding RNA is filed under the name Callithrix jacchus (white-tufted-ear marmoset). Its description in RNAcentral is "lncRNA (ENSCJAG00000077789.1)". The record is from RNAcentral. Lineage: Eukaryota; Metazoa; Chordata; Mammalia; Primates; Cebidae.
GAUUAUCAAACAUACCCUACUGUCUUACAGCUGAUCAGUUGAAAUAUUAAUUUUUUUAACUUUCAGAAUGGUUCCAGAGGCUUUUGAGUUUGUAUGGCUGCGUCACAGCAGGACUCUCCCUACAGUAUAUCUGUCUUCAGAAGUGGUCAGAAAAUCAGUAUCUGCCAACAGUUAGAUAUGGCAUGAUGAUGGAGCAAUGAAAAUAGCAACAAUAUGAGAAAAAAGAGUUUCGCUCUUGUUACCCAGACUGGAGUGCAGUGGCACGAUCUCGGCUCACCGUAACCUCCACCUCCUGGAUUCAAGCAAUGCUCCUGCUUCAGUCUCCUGAGUAGCUGGGACUACAGGAGCGCACCACCAUGCCCCGCUAAUUUUUUUGUAUUUUUAGUAGAGACGGGGUUUCACCUUGUUGACCAGGAUGGUCUCAAUUUCUUGACCUCGUGAUCCACCUGCCUCGGCCGCCCAAAGUGCUGGGAUUAUAGGCGUGAGCCACCGCUCCCAGCAAUUAUGAC